UGUGGGAGCGAGCCUGCUCGCGAUGAGGCAGUGUCAGUCAACAUCACUGUUGGCUGAUUCACCGCCAUCGCGAGCAGGCUCGCUCCCACA
RNAcentral lists this unclassified non-coding RNA (90 nucleotides) under Pseudomonas mandelii. The record is from RNAcentral. Lineage: Bacteria; Pseudomonadati; Pseudomonadota; Gammaproteobacteria; Pseudomonadales; Pseudomonadaceae.